This 497-nucleotide ribosomal RNA is filed under the name uncultured bacterium. RNAcentral's name for it is "partial 16S ribosomal RNA". It matches the Rfam family "Bacterial small subunit ribosomal RNA", at positions 28 to 507 of the family's 1533-position model. The record is from RNAcentral.
GAUGAACGCUGGCGGCGUGCCUAAUACAUGCAAGUCGAGCGAACAGACGAGGAGCUUGCUCCUCUGACGUUAGCGGCGGACGGGUGAGUAACACGUGGAUAACCUACCUAUAAGACUGGGAUAACUUCGGGAAACCGGAGCUAAUACCGGAUAAUAUAUUGAACCGCAUGGUUCAAUAGUGAAAGACGGUUUUGCUGUCACUUAUAGAUGGAUCCGCGCCGCAUUAGCUAGUUGGUAAGGUAACGGCUUACCAAGGCAACGAUGCGUAGCCGACCUGAGAGGGUGAUCGGCCACACUGGAACUGAGACACGGUCAAGACUCAUACGGGAGGCAGCAGUAGGGAAUCUUCCGCAAGGGGCGAAAGCUUGACGGAGCAACGCCGCGUGAUUGAUGAAGGUCUUCGGAGCGUAAAAAUCUGUUAUUAGGGAAGAACAAAUGUGUAAGUAACUAUGCACGUCUUGACGGUACCUAAUCAGAAAGCCACGGCUAACUACGUG